AAUACGUAGGGCGCAAGCGUUGUCCGGAAUUAUUGGGCGUAAAGAGCUCGUAGGCGGCCUGUCGCGUCCGUCGUGAAAGCCCGGGGCUUAACUCCGGGUCUGCGGUGGAUACGGGCAGGCUAGAGGCAGGUAGGGGAGAAUGGAAUUCCCGGUGUAGCGGUGAAAUGCGCAGAUAUCGGGAGGAACACCGGUGGCGAAGGCGGUUCUCUGGGCCUGUACUGACGCUGAGGAGCGAAAGCGUGGGGAGCGAACAG
Molecule: ribosomal RNA, 254 nt
Filed under: uncultured prokaryote
Description: partial 16S ribosomal RNA
Rfam family: Bacterial small subunit ribosomal RNA
Source: RNAcentral